UUUCAUGAAAGGACUAAGCAUAUAGAAGUAGACUGUCAUUUCAGAAGAGAAAUGAUAAAUCAAAAGAAAAUAUCAUUAAAGCAAUUUGGAACUAAGUUCCAACUUGCUGAUUUUCUCACAAAAAUACUUGGAGAAAGAGAAAUUACAACAUUCCAUUUCAAGCUUGGAAUAUUAAAUAUAUAUUCCAAGGCUUGAGAGGGGAGUAAAGGAAUUACAGUGUUAAUACACUGUUAAUUACAUUGCUUAAGUACUUUAAAGUUAUAAUCAUAUUUUCAGGACUUACUUGCUAUUAUCUGGAUAGUUUUAUUUUACAGAUAAAUAAACCAAGACUGGAGUAAAGCAAUUAAAUGAAACUUGAGGGCAAAUGUACAAAAGUUUAAAUAAAGUCUAAAUGAGCCAAUUCGGAUGGGCCCCGCACUGGGCUGGUGUCAACUAAUUAAUACAACUACAAGAUAUUAGUUAAUUAGAUAUUAUAUUAGUUAAUCUGUUAGUUAACAGAUAAGUUGUGUAAUUAGUUGAUAGUUAGACAAGUGUAAUAUAAAUAAGAUACUUUUGUAACAUUAGAUUAAUUCAAUACAAUUACAUUUGCACUAAUCAUUUCAUUAGUGACUAAGCAUCUGCUAAUUCAGCCAACGGUUAUCUCGACAGUUAAGUCGAGAAACCCUAGUUUCUUCCCCCUUCUGCGCGCGUUUACUGCCUGAACAUUCGCCGACGCUCCAGACGUCGAAACGAUUUCCAGACAUCGACUGGACUGGAAAUUAUCAGUUUCUACUGUAAAAGAAAUUACCAUCUCCUAAGAGGUAGGACUCUCUAUGGAUAUGAUUUUUUGGAUCAUUCCAUUAACACGUUGUAACCGUCGUCACCUUACCGCGAUCUGUUAUGGAGGAGAUGCAAAAAUUGUUACCUGCGGAGGAAGAACAACGAGAAGAAUUAAUACCCACAGAAAUUGAAAAGUUAAUAGACAAGAUAGGAGAAGAAGAAGCUUCUAUAGAUGGAGUGGUCGGAAACAUUCCGACCAGCACACCUACUGAACAAGAAUGCCCUGAACCAAAACCUGACAGCCCUAAAGUUGCAAGGAAGGGAACCAUUCACGCUGACAAGGAAGCCAACGUGAGGAAGGGAGAUAGAAUCCGUAAUCAGUCAACUAGAUUGACUGGUUAUCUUCUAAAUUAGAGGUUUUGGGCUGGGCCAGAACCUCUAUUGGGCUUAAUUAAGUUAGCUUUUAAUUAUUCAGACCUAUAAAUGCUGUAAGACAUUAUUGGUAAAUUUUUUAUGAAAUGUUUGCUUGCUGCUGCAAACACUAGCCACCGACUAAAGGAGGGAGAUCUAUUUCCUCCAAGUUUCCCUACCAUCUGGUUAUCAAUCCAAGGUGGUUACAUUGGUGCUUUCAACGGACUCGCCUCCAAUCUAAAAGAAGGAUACCAAGACGUCGAGAACGAUGGUACUAAAUAUUCAAGCAAACCUUCCAAGGGGUGUCCUAGCCCUUGACUAGGUCCCAAAUAGGGAAGCAAUUGUUCUUAAAAGUUUUAUAUAAUUUUCAUAUUCUUACAUAAGAUCAAAUUCUUAGGAGAUCGGGAAAAAGAAAAAAGAACAAAAAAAUGUUGUUGUUGUUACGUCGGGAACGACGGGAAAAAUAAUUCAAAAAAAAAAAUCAUCUAAGGGCCGUCCUAGUCCUUAACUAGGUCCCCUCGAGGGAAGUAUCAAUCACUUGCCUUCCAAAUUAAAUAUAUACCUGAUAUCACUCUGAUAAUUAUAGGUAUUACAGCAACAAUGGAAGAAAUAGUGCAGCAACUGCAAAAAGAACAACAAGAGCAAGCAUUAUUGCUCAACGCAACGGUUGCUUAGUUUUCAGCAGUGACAAAACAGUUAGAUGCAACUAUGAAAGAAAUUCAAAAUCAAAUGGGUGGAGCUAUCAACCAACAGAACAAUACAAACAGGCAGCCGGUCCACCAAGACCCCAUUCGCCCAUCAGCAAAAGAUAUCCCAAAAUUUCCAGGAAAAAAUGUAGAAGGAUGGUUGCUAAAGAUAACGAAGUUUUUUCGUCAUUAUCAUAUUAAGGACGAAAAGAGGAUGUUUUUGGCCACGCAAAGUAUGGAAAGGGAAGCCCUUGGGUGGCUAGUCUGGAUGGAGGAAGAAGGGAAUCUCGAAUGUUGGAGUGAUUUUGUGCAGGACAUAUCUAGACGUUUUGGACAUAAUCCUUAUGAUGUGCCAACAGGGAGACUAAGUAAAUUAUGCCAAGAAAAUUUAUCGGUGGUUGAAUAUCAAAAGAAGUUUGAAAGCUUAGCAACAAGGGCACAUGGAAUAUCCAAACCAGCCUUCAAAGAAAUGUUUAUCAGCGGGUUAGAUCCAGAUAUGCAGGAAAAAAUAUUGUUAGCAAGGCCCGAAGACAUCAAUGAAGACUUUUCAUUAGCUAAUAUGUGUGAAGAAGUAAGGGCGGGUAAAGGAAAAAAUAACGUGAAGUAUGAAUCUAAGUAUUAUGUGCCUCCACAUAAGAGAGUAGAUAACAUAGUCUCUACCAUGCCUAGCAUCAGAAAACAACUAUCUGAAAAUGAAAAAAAAGAGAGAAGAGAAAAGUCAUUAUGCUUCAAUUGUGAUGAAAAGUGGAUAAAGGGUCAUAGAUGCCAAGGUAAAUUAUUGUUAUUAUCGGCAGAUGGGAGGAGACUGACAGAAAUUACACAUUCUGAUGAUGAUUAUAGUUCGGGGGAAGAAGAUGAACAUAUUUCAGCAGCACAAUCCAGCGAAGCCAAUAUGAUUAGCUUAAAUGCUUUGGAUGGGAUCCUUGGUCCAAAAAUACUAAGACUGUCUGGACUGAUCAAUAAUAUGCAAUUAUCGGUACUAGUUGACUCCGGAUCUACACAUAAUUUUAUCCAAUCAGACGUGGUAGAGAGUUUACAGUUACCAAUAUCCAAAACAGAAAAAUUCUUUGUAACCACAUGCAGUGGUGUAAAAUUAAAGUGUAGCAGGGUUUGCAAAGACAUCAAAAUGCCGAUACAAGGAACAGAGCUGAAAGUGAAUUUAUUUCUAUUACCUGUAACCGGCGCAAACGUAAUCUUGGGAAUUCAGUGGCUGAGUACUUUGGGUAGGGUAAUCACAGAUUACAAAGAAUUGUAUAUGGAAUUCAGUCUGAACAAGGAGAUAAUUAGGUGGAAUGCCACAAGGCUGGAUUGACGAUGAACCCUUGUCUAGUAGAGAAUUAAAAUAAUUAUCAACAAAGCAAGAAGCCGUAUAUGUUUUACACCUACAUUAUGGCGCGAAUUCAGAAGCAACCAUAGAGACAACGGUGAAUAACCUAUCAGAUCCAGUUAAAUCAAUACUAAACAAAUAUAAUGAUAUAUUCUUGGAGCAGAUGGCACUACCACCAUCACGGGUGAAAGAUCACUACAUUCACACUAUAGAAGGAUCUAAACCCGUAUCUGUACGACCUUACAGAUACCCACAGUAUCAGAAGGCAGAAAUGGAAGAUCUAGUGAAAGAGAUGGUUAAACAAGGGAUCGUGAGACCAAGUACCAGCCCAUAUUCUUCUCCAGUUAUUUUAGUGAAGAAGGACGGAGGUUGGCGUCUAUGUGUGGAUUACCGAGCAUUAAACGCAAUUACAGUCAAGGACUGCUUUCCAAUACCAACUAUUGAUGAACUUCUAGGAGAACUGAAUGGAGCAAAGGUGUUUUCUAAAUUGGAUCUAAGAUCCGAGUACCAUCAGAUACGUAUCAACCCACCGGAUGUGCCUAAAACAGCGUUUAGAACACACAGUGGUCAUUUUGAGUUCUUAGUUAUGCCAUUUGGCUUAACUAACGCUCCAUCUACGUUCCAAGCUUUAAUGAAUGAUAUAUUCGAGGAACAACUCAGAAAGUUCGUAAUAGUAUUUUUCGAUGACAUACUAGUAUUUAGCAAGUUAAAAAAAGAACACAAUAUUCAUCUAGAGACAGUUUUUCAAGUACUAAGAAAACAUUUAUUGGCUGCCAAGAUGAGUAAAUGCUCGUUUGAAAAGGAGGAAUUACAGUUCCUAGGACACAUAAUUAGCAAAAACGGAAUUAAUGCAGAUCCAGAAAAAAAUUGAAGCAAUGUUGCGUUGGCAAAUACCAACUACGGUGAAACAACUAAGGAGUUUUCUUGGGCUGACGGGGUAUUAUCAAAGGUUUAUUAAACAAUAUGCACACAUUGCACACCCCAUGACCGAUCUGCUUAAAAAGAAUGAGUUUACAUGGAACAAAGAAGCAACUAAUAGCUUCACAACUCUGAAACGAGCUAUGCUAGCAGUUCCGGUUUUAGGGUAUCCUGAUUUCUCUUGUAUGUUUAUAGUGGAAACAGACGCUUCUCAGACUGGUAUCGGGGCGGUACUAAUGCAAAAAGGACACCCUUUAGCAUUCUACAGCAGUAAAUUAACAGGAAAGCGGAGAAUGGCAUCUACUUAUGCUAGAGAAUUAUUCGCAAUUACACAAGCGGUAUCAAAGUGGAGACACUACUUGUUGGGAAGACGAUUUAUCAUUCAAACAGACCAUCGAAGUUUGAAAAACCUAUUAACACAGGUCAUUCAAACUCCAGAACAGCAAGAGUUUUUAUACAAAAUUUUGGGUUUCGAUUUUGAGAUAUGUUAUAAACCUGGAAAGGAUAAUGGGGCUGCAGAUGGAUUGUCUAGAAUGAAUGAGGCCGGAGAUAAAAGAGAAGUAGAAGAGAAUCACCAAACAAUGAUGUCCCUAUUAGCUACAAAAAACACUAUUCUGUCUGCAUUAAAGUCUGAAAUUGUAGCUGAUAAAUGGGAAAUGAAGAUAAAAGAUGAGAUUAAACAAGGUAAAAGAAAAGAAGAGGAUUAUAAAUUUACCGAAGGGUUGGUAUUCUAUAAAUCAAAACUAUGGCUACCAAAGAAUUCAGAACUGAUAUUAAAAGUGAUUAAAGCUCUGCAUGAUUCAACUAUAGGGGGUCAUACAGGACCAGAAAGAUCAACUAAGCGUAUUCAGAACUCAUUUUGGUGGGAAGGUAUGAAUGUUCAAAUCAAAGAUUAUGUAGAUAGUUGUUUAAUUUGCCAACAGAUGAAAAGCAAUAAUGUGAAGCAAUAUGGUCUUCUGAUGCCACUACCAAUUCCGGAGGCGGUUUGGCAAGAUUUAUCAGUUGAUUUUAUUACGGGAUUACCUCUAGUAAAAGGCAAGAGUGUAAUAAUAGUAGUGGUGGACAGGCUGUCCAAGUUUGCACAUCUAGGCGCAUUAAUAUCAAAAUAUACAGCAACCGGAGUUGCAAACUAUUUUAUCAAUCACAUUAUCAAGCUACAUGGUUUUCCUCGAUCGAUUGUGUCCGAUCGGGAUAAAGUGUUUACCGGCAAGUUCUGGGUAGAACUCAACCGAAUAAAUAACUGCACAUUAUCUAUGAGCUCCGCCUACCAUCCUCAGUCGGACGGGCAAACGGAAAUUGUAAACAAAACACUAGAGCACUAUCUUAGAUCUCACAUGAUAAACCAAGACAGUGGUUGGAAAUAUUACCUCUUGCGGAGUUAUGGUAUAACUGUUGCUACCAUUCGUCACUAGCGAUGUCUCCUUUUAAAGUGUUAUAUGGCAGAGAUCCUCCUGAUGUGCCUGAAUAUGUGAAUAAUUCCUCAAAAGUAUUAGCAGUAAAUGAAGAAAUAUUGCGAAGAACUGAAAUUUUUGAAGUGGUAAAAAGAAAUUUGGAAAAAGCACAAAAGAAAAUGAAAUUAGCAGCGGAUAAACGAAGGACAUAGAUCGUAUACCAAGUAGGAGAUCUCAUCAUGGUAAGACUUCAGCCGUAUAAGCAAUCAUCGUUGAGAGCCGGAUUCCACCACAAAUUGGGGCAAAAAUACUACGGACCAUUCUCCAUCAUCAAAAAAAUAAAUGAAGUGGCCAUGAAACUCGAUCUACCCGAGGCUAGCAAGAUCCAUCCGGUAUUCCAUGUGUCAAGGUUGAAGAGGUACAAAGGAGAAAAUAACAAUGUUAAUUGUUGCAGGUUACCAAAUAUAGCAGUAAAUAACGAACCUGUGAUAGUAUCGGAGAAACUUCUGGCGAAAAGAACAAUAUUGAACCAAGGUCGGGAGGAAGCAGAGAUACUCGUCCAGUGGGGAGGCCUGAAUCCAGAGGAUGCAUCUUGGGAGAAGACGGAUGUCAUUUCUUCGAAAUUUCCAUCCAUCAGACUCGAGGUCGAGUCAUUGCCGGAAGGAGGGGGGAUGUGACCGUCGUCACCUUACCGCGAUCUGUUAUGGAGGAGAUGCAGAAAUUGUUACCUGCGGAGGAAGAACAACGAGAAGAAUUAAUACGCACAGAAAUUGAAAAGUUAAUAGACAAGAUAGGAGAAGAAGAAGCUUCUAUAGAUGGAAUGGUCGGAAACAUUCCGACCAGCACACCUACUGAACAAGAAUGCCCUGAACCAAAACCUGACAGCCCUAAAGUUGCAAGGAAGGGAACCAUUCACGCUGACAAGGAAGCCAACGUGAGGAAGGGAGAUAGAAUCCGUAAUCAAUCAACUAGAUUGGCUGGUUAUCUUCUAAAUUAGAGGUCUUGGGCUGGGCCAGAACCUCUAUUGGGCUUAAUU
Molecule: long non-coding RNA, 6528 nt
Filed under: Zostera marina
Lineage: Eukaryota; Viridiplantae; Streptophyta; Magnoliopsida; Alismatales; Zosteraceae
Description: long non-coding RNA (ZMAR_LNC003626)
Source: RNAcentral